CCUACGGGUGGCAGCAGUGAGGAAUAUUGGUCAAUGGACGAGAGUCUGAACCAGCCAAGUAGCGUGAAGGAUGACUGCCCUAUGGGUUGUAAACUUCUUUUAUAUGGGAAUAAAACAGGGUAUGCAUACCCUCUUGUAUGUACCCUAUGAAUAAGUAUCGGCUAACUCCGUGCCAGCAGCCGCGGUAAUACGGAGGAUCCGAGCGUUAUCCGGAUUUAUUGGGUUUAAAGGGAGCGUAGGUGGAUUGUUAAGUCAGUUGUGAAAGUUUGCGGCUAAACCGUAAAAUUGCAGUUGAAACUGGCAGUCUUGAGUACAGUAGAGGUGGGCGGAAUUCGUGGUGUAGCGGUGAAAUGCUUAGAUAGCACGAAGAA
This 371-nucleotide ribosomal RNA is filed under the name uncultured bacterium. RNAcentral's name for it is "partial 16S ribosomal RNA". It matches the Rfam family "Bacterial small subunit ribosomal RNA", at positions 338 to 706 of the family's 1533-position model. The record is from RNAcentral.